UCCGUGUUCCACCAGGAGCCCUUGCCCUUUGCGGUCAGUGGAGAAGCCGGAUGUAGCCAGCUACCUGGUAGCCCAGAAGCCUUCUCAGGGUGCUCGCAAGACAGUUAGAAAAAAAACUUUGGAAACAAGCAAAAUACCAGCAAGUGAGACAGUACUGGUGUCCGUGUGUCCGUAGUCUCUGCAUCGUCGUGUCUGCUGCUGACCCAGUGGCCACAGGAAGUGAAAGGUCUGCGGGUGGAGACUGGAUGAGAAGACGACACAGGAGAAUUUUGAGCUGUAUUUGGGAAGCCCUUCACCGUUCUAAGAUUACAAAGCAUGAGAGUUACGAGGACCAAAAAGAUUUCAGCACCCACCAAAAGGAUAUAUUGGAGCCUUGACACCCCCUCCCUCCUCAGGAGCCCAAAAUGCGACCUUCUUUGGAAAGAGUCUCCUUACAGAAGUAACUGUGCUACAGUGAGGUCAUCUGGAUGGGUUAUACACACAGGUGAUAAGGGAGACAUCCAGGCAUAAGUGUCAAGAAGACAAUGUGAAAGGAGGUAUGGGGAAGACCACCUAUAGGACAAGGACAGACUCUCGUCCCACAGCCCUCAGAAUGAACAAACCUGCCAGUACCUUUGCACUUCAGACCCUGCACCCAUAGAUGUUAGUCCCUCGGCCUGCCUCUUUGUUACUGACUACCUCCAUGGACCACAACAGCCACCUCCAUCUACGUGGGGAGAGAAGCCUGCUGGCUGUUUUCACUGGCACCAUCCCCACUCAGAGGAAAAGGGAACAGUGGCCAGUUAGCCAUGUCUCCUAAGACGUGGCAGGGUGGCACUGAACUUGGAGUCGGCUGACCAGAGAUUUCAACCAGUCUCCAAUGUACUCCGCCUUAGUGAGUAUUGCAAGGAUUACAUGAAACUGUGAACUGCUAAGCCUGUAUGUAGGUGGGCUUCCAGGAGUCUAUGUCUGGGGGCUUAGGCUGAAAGGGAAGACAGAGAAGGCAUGGCCUCAGACACUCUUCUCCUCAGAUGAAGUGAUAGCUCCUUAAGUUUUUCAGGACUGUGGCUUGAAGCCAGGGCCUUGCACAUGCUACGUGAGUGCUUUAUCACUGGACUAUAUUUCAGUCUGACUCCUGAAUAUUGACUAAAUAUCAGCAACCCUUGCUGAACCCUUGGAGGCUUGCAGUGAUAAAAUUACAAGGUCUGCUCUUGCUAGUUCUGCUGAGCAUUACGAUCUUCCCUCUAAAUAUGCUUGACAAUAAUCGGUGGUGUGUUUCAAAAGAGUUAGUAGAGAUAAUCUUGAAUCUUCCUCAACUCAAGGCAAGGACGUAUGACUGAGAUGAUAGAAAGCCAGUGACUCUGAUCUGACCAGUUAAACUGCACACAUGUAUUAAAUGUCACUCUGUCCUCC
Molecule: non-coding RNA, 1392 nt
Organism: Peromyscus maniculatus bairdii (prairie deer mouse)
Lineage: Eukaryota; Metazoa; Chordata; Mammalia; Rodentia; Cricetidae
Source: RefSeq, a predicted model, not a curated record